UAACGGCGAGUGAAGCGGGAAGAGCUCAAAUUUGAAAUCUCCGAUGCUUGCAUCGGCGAGUUGUAGUUGCGAGAAGCACUUUCUAGGCGGAUCGGCGGUGCCUAAGUUGCUUGGAACAGCACGUCACAGAGGGUGACAACCCCGUCUGUGGCGCCGCCGGCCACCCACGAUGUGCUUUCGAAGAGUCGGGUUGUUUGGGAAUGCAGCCCAAAACGGGUGGUAAACUCCAUCUAAAGCUAAAUACUGGCGUGAGACCGAUAGCGAACAAGUACCGUGAGGGAAAGAUGAAAAGAACUUUGAAAAGAGAGUUAAAAAGUACGUGAAACCGUUGAAAGGGAAACGAAUGGGCUCAGCAAUGCACCCUUUGAGAUUCAGCCGGUGGGUGGGAUCGGCGCCGGGUUUGCGGAUCUGAAUGGACCGCGGCCAGGCGCUCGUUUCUCCCUGGCCGUCGCACUUCUCUUGGGUGCGCGUCAACGUCGGUUGGGACUGGGUCUGAAAGGUGCCGGGAAGGUAGGCGUGGGCCUCCGGGUCCCUGCUGUUACAGCCCGGUUCUCCUCAUGGCUCGGGCUCGACCGAGGAGUUGCAGGGCAUGCCUGCUGUGGCUAGGGUCC
Molecule: ribosomal RNA, 611 nt
Filed under: Cyphastrea serailia
Lineage: Eukaryota; Metazoa; Cnidaria; Anthozoa; Scleractinia; Merulinidae
Description: eukaryotic LSU rRNA
Rfam family: Eukaryotic large subunit ribosomal RNA
Source: RNAcentral